AACAAUAGUAGUAAAUGUUUAAAACUCACAGCCCUUGAUACUCGAGGGUCAGAUACUUGCUUUUUGGGUUGGGGGUUGGUAUUCGGAUCAAGGAGUGAUGGCAUGUCCUCUAUACUGUAUAACGUUUAACAACAUCCUGACCAGUACCGUCUGCUUAAUACUACUAGUUCAUUCAGUGAUAAGCAAAGUGUCCUCAGACAUUGUCUAGCAUCCCAUGGUCACAAAACCCAUCCCAGCUAGGAAGAAUACGGUCAAUAAGUAACAGCUAUGAGGUACUACGGUGUCAUGACAGUAGAAAUUGUACCUGAAAUCCUAAUUCAAUGUUCCUGGAAAAGCUCAGACAAAUGAAAAGCUAUGUCAGGGAAAGUCUACCAGCCAUUGGUGCUAUAAAUCAGACACUGGGAGAAUUAUAAGCACCCCCAAGGAAGAAGAAGCAAACUGCUUCGUUCUUGCUUUGUUUCUCCAGUGCUGACAACAUGCCGUUUGCUAAUGAGCAAGGGAGAAUUGUAUGAAAUGUGAGACAUAUUUUCAAAGGCAGCCAAAGGCUGCAAAACUCUGAGCGUGAGGAUGCAGACCUCCAAUCCCCAUACUUGAGUGUCUGAGGCCUGAGAAUCGUCAUGAGGGCAAAGCCAGUCUGCCUUACCACAACAAGACUCUACUUACAGAAACAAUGCAAAC
RNAcentral lists this long non-coding RNA (678 nucleotides) under Rattus norvegicus (Norway rat). RNAcentral's name for it is "long non-coding RNA NONRATT001696". Lineage: Eukaryota; Metazoa; Chordata; Mammalia; Rodentia; Muridae. The record is from RNAcentral.